Molecule: long non-coding RNA, 483 nt
Filed under: Capsicum annuum
Lineage: Eukaryota; Viridiplantae; Streptophyta; Magnoliopsida; Solanales; Solanaceae
Description: long non-coding RNA (CANN_LNC001642)
Source: RNAcentral
UUCGAACUUUCUUACCAAUUUGAAAAGACAACAUGCGAACAAAGAAGAAUAAACAUCUUGGAUGAAAAAUAAAGCUAGCACUUCAUAUCUUAUAUGAGGGUUUUGAAAUCCAUUAAAAUAAUUAGUAAGCAACUGACAAAUUCUUGACUUAAAUAAUUAUUAUUUUUAAUAAGGCGCAACAAAUAAUAAUAACUAUUCUUCCAACCUAAAAUAAACAUCUUUACAUGCUAAAAAAAAUAUAUCUACCAACAAUAAGUUUAAACAAGACAUGGAUAUCGUUUUUCAAGUAAAGAUCUAAACUUUAUUCAAAUAAUCAAAGAAUAAGGUGAAAAGACAAAACAUUCAACAUUAACUAUUCUUCUAAACAUAAAGAAAAUAACUUUACAUACUAAAAACAAAUGUAUCAAAGAACAAUGAGUUUAUAAAAAAGCAUAAAUACAUCUUUUAAGCAAAGAUUGAAACUUUAUCUAAAAUAAUCAAAGA